AUUGAACGCUGGCGGAAUGCUUUACACAUGCAAGUCGAACGGCAGCAUAGGUGCUUGCACCUGAUGGCGAGUGGCGAACGGGUGAGUAAUACAUCGGAACGUGCCCAGUCGUGGGGGAUAACGUAGCGAAAGUUACGCUAAUACCGCAUACGAUCUACGGAUGAAAGCGGGGGACCGUAAGGCCUCGCGCGAUUGGAGCGGCCGAUGUUAGAUUAGGUAGUUGGUGGGGUAAAGGCUCACCAAGCCGACGAUCUAUAGCUGGUCUGAGAGGAUGAUCAGCCACACUGGGACUGAGACACGGCCCAGACUCCUACGGGAGGCAGCAGUGGGGAAUUUUGGACAAUGGGCGCAAGCCUGAUCCAGCCAUUCCGCGUGCAGGACGAAGGCCUUCGGGUUGUAAACUGCUUUUGUACAGAACGAAAAGCUCUGGGUUAAUACCCUGGGGUCAUGACGGUACUGUAAGAAUAAGCACCGGCUAACUACGUA
RNAcentral lists this ribosomal RNA (486 nucleotides) under uncultured bacterium. RNAcentral describes it as "bacterial SSU rRNA". It matches the Rfam family "Bacterial small subunit ribosomal RNA", at positions 30 to 507 of the family's 1533-position model. The record is from RNAcentral.